RNAcentral lists this ribosomal RNA (423 nucleotides) under uncultured Prochlorococcus sp. RNAcentral's name for it is "bacterial SSU rRNA". It matches the Rfam family "Bacterial small subunit ribosomal RNA", at positions 30 to 501 of the family's 1533-position model. Lineage: Bacteria; Bacillati; Cyanobacteriota; Cyanophyceae; Synechococcales; Prochlorococcaceae. The record is from RNAcentral.
UGAACGCUGGCGGCGUGCUUAAACAUGCAAGUCGAACGAACCUUCGGGUUAGUGGCGGACGGGUGAGUAACGCGUGAGAAUCUGCCCUCAGGAGGGGGAUAACGGUUGGAAACGACCGCUAAUACCCCAUAUGCCUACUGGUGAAAUGAAUUUCGCCUGAGGAUGAGCUCGCGUCUGAUUAGCUAGUUGGUGAGGUAAUGGCUCACCAAGGCUUCGAUCAGUAGCUGGUCUGAGAGGAUGAUCAGCCACACUGGGACUGAGACACGGCCCAGACUCCUACGGGAGGCAGCAGUGGGGAAUUUUCCGCAAUGGGCGAAAGCCUGACGGAGCAACGCCGCGUGAGGGACGAAGGCCUCUGGGCUGUAAACCUCUUUUCUCAAGGAAGAAGAUAUGACGGUACUUGAGGAAUAAGCCACGGCUAAU